Molecule: ribosomal RNA, 507 nt
Filed under: Salmonella enterica subsp. enterica serovar Infantis
Lineage: Bacteria; Pseudomonadati; Pseudomonadota; Gammaproteobacteria; Enterobacterales; Enterobacteriaceae
Also listed under: 11 other names
Description: partial 23S ribosomal RNA
Rfam family: Bacterial large subunit ribosomal RNA
Source: RNAcentral
UGCUGGAGGUAUCAGAAGUGCGAAUGCUGACAUAAGUAACGAUAAAGCGGGUGAAAAGCCCGCUCGCCGGAAGACCAAGGGUUCCUGUCCAACGUUAAUCGGGGCAGGGUGAGUCGACCCCUAAGGCGAGGCCGAAAGGCGUAGUCGAUGGGAAACGGGUUAAUAUUCCCGUACUUGGUGUUACUGCGAAGGGGGGACGGAGAAGGCUAUGUUGGCCGGGCGACGGUUGUCCCGGUUUAAGCGUGUAGGUGUGUGUUCCAGGUAAAUCCGGUUCACUUUAACACUGAGGCGUGAUGACGAGGCACUACGGUGCUGAAGCAACAAAUGCCCUGCUUCCAGGAAAAGCCUCUAAGCAUCAGGUAACAUCAAAUCGUACCCCAAACCGACACAGGUGGUCAGGUAGAGAAUACCAAGGCGCUUGAGAGAACUCGGGUGAAGGAACUAGGCAAAAUGGUGCCGUAACUUCGGGAGAAGGCACGCUGACACGUAGGUGAAGUGAUUUACUCA